Long non-coding RNA from Gasterosteus aculeatus aculeatus (three-spined stickleback), 1731 nucleotides. NCBI's taxonomy places the organism in Eukaryota, Metazoa, Chordata, Actinopteri, Perciformes, Gasterosteidae. The record is from Ensembl.
GUGAAAACAAGAUAUUUUCUGCAUGAAAAUUGUGCCAAAAGCCGAAUUGUGUGUAGUGUUUUGAAAAAAGUGUGUUUUAGAACUGCAAUUUGAGUGUAAAGCAGGGAUUGUGCUUGUAGUUUAGCAGAAUUGGUUCAGGGGGUUGGUGACUGAGUUACAUGUUGUGGUCAUUGUGUCUCAAGUACCAGAAUUUGUGUGUAAACAACUCUGAAAAACUGUAAUAUUUUUACUUUCCUUAGUCAUUUUGGUGAUGGGUGCUUUUGGUUUGAGCACCUGCCCCCCAAAAUGUCUGUGCACGUGCCUGGUUUUUCCCGGAUGUAUAUCCAUGCAUCUUUUAUAUUCAGGGAUGUAUAUCCAUGCAUCUUUUAUAUUCAAUUUACUCGGUUUCUGAUCUGGCAGGUCCAGAUGAGAAACAGUAUGCUGGGACAGCUUUGGCCUAAUAGAAAAUGGGGGGAAGCUUUACGAAAGUAGAGAAGAAGCUCAUCUGUCCAAUAUUGUCCUUCCCCGUGUCCUCACACAGGGCUCUCCCCUUCAUGGCCAUCAGCCGCUCAUGUUUAUCAGAUAGCUUGGAGUUAUUGAAGUAUUGCCUUUUGAUCAUUUCAUCUCUGGUCAUUUCAGCCUCUGACUGCUUUUGCUCUUGGCCCAACCUCUCAGUCACUAUGCGAGGAAAUUUGGUGUUUUGUGCCUCUGUCUCUCUGACACAGUUCAUUCUGGAAAUGUUGUCCCAAUGGUUUUGGACUUCAGUCUUCUUCAACUCUGUCUUUCUCUGUUCCUGCCACCUGCAGAACUUUCCGUCGUGUCCAUACUGGAAUGGAAAUACUUGCUCAUUUCCCCUUCUCAACGGCCUCUCUUUUGCUUUCUGCAGUUCAUUUUUUAAGAUAAGCUGGUGUUGAUAUUCCGCUAAAUCUAGGCUCAUGAGUUUUCUGUGAACAUUCCUUUCCGAAUGAUGAGUUUGAAGCUCAUCUAAAGGACUGGGCUUUUUUUGCAAAAGAUCCAGGUACUCAUCCUUUGCUGAGAUUUGGGUCGGCUCCUCGUCAAUCUCCAUAGGUCCUGUUUCUACAGAGUUGUUUACGUCUUCAUACUCUGGCCAAGGGCUAGUCAAUUGCUCUUCUGGUGGAGGCAUUGUCUUUAGUUUCCCCAUGUCCAUUUGUCCCGGUUUUAACACCAUGACUGUGUCCAACUCUAUCUCUGUGACAACCAUAUAUGCAGCUUCCUUCUCUCUCCCUCUCUGUGUUCUCUCUUUGGCUUUCUGCAGUUCGUUUUCCAUGAUAAUCUGCCGUUGAUUUUCUGCUAAAUCGAGGGUGAUGAGUUUUCUGCGAACAUUCCAUUCCUGAUGAUGAGUUUGAAGCUCAUCUAAAAGACUGGGCUUUUUUUGCAAAAGAUCCAGGUACUCAUCCUUUGCUGAGAUUUGUUUUGGCUCCUCGUCAAUCACCAUAGGUCGUGUUUCUACAGAGUUGUUGAUGGCUGCAUACUCUGGCCUGCUGAUCAGCCUUCUGUACCGACUGGAUCUCUUAGGUGACCGGCACCUCCUCGAGCCUCCGGUGUCGACCCACGGGACCUCACACGUCGGUUCGGCCGCCUCCUUUGUCGGACCACGAGCUCCACACAUCUCCUCCCCCCACCUCCUUCUCACUGGUUAAAAUAAAAACUAACACUGCUACAGUCUCCUGUGGUCAAGCUUUUGGGUCCUAACCUUGAACUCUCCUGACAAAAAGGCAGCUAAUUGAAUUG